CAGAUUCCCCCCUGGGCCUCCAUUACGGUGGUGGGAGAAGAUCGAAGUUCAUUCUGCACUGAGGAGUUCAGGCUCCCCACAUGGCAUCCUACUAAUUUCCCUUGCUGAAAGGAGGAGGACAGGCCCACUGACACUGUGUGUCAGGUACAGGGGUAAAGGAUGGUCUUCUUGGCCUCAUUACCACGAUGGGGUGGAAGAUUAGGCUCCCUGGAGAGGAGCACUUACUGAGACCACAGUGGGAGAGCUUUUUGUCAUCUGGCUCCUUCUCUGACAUCACGCUCAUGGAGGAGGGGCUUCAACUUUUAUACUUUCCAAGCGGACCACAGGCAGAAAGUUCCAACAGGAAAAAUGAUCACAUUGUGUUUUAUCUUUAUUAUCAAGAUCUGAAGUGUUUUAUCAAAAGGAGUUGGUCAAUGAGGCCGGGCAAGUCCUGGAAGGAGCUAUGAAGAGCUUCUCUAGGAAGAAGAAAUUUGAGGAGGGACCUCAUUAAAGCCAGGGAAAUUGCUAUGUGAUGAUCCCAUGGAAGAGUGCUCCAGAGAGAACAGAAAGUGCAAAGAUCCUGUGGCGGUACUGAGUAUGAUGUGCUUGAAAAAUUGUGGGGUCAGCGUGCUGAAAGCCAAGGAAGCAAGGCAAGGCUGGCAGGUGAUGAGUUUGGAGAAACACUGGGAAGAUUUUGAGGGUCUGACAGGCCCCAGGUUAGGAGUUUGGAUUUUAUUGUUGAGAUAUUUCUCUCAUUGACUCUCUCCUAAAAUUAAACCCCAACACUUCUUGGUUACCACAGAUUUUCACUCUGUGCCUUAUAAGUAACUAUUCAUUGUUGUCACAGGCAGCAUAGCCACUCCAUGCAGUAAAAAUUGGCAUCACUCACCCUGUGGGGCUCUUGGCCACAAGUCCAUUUCACUGUCUCCACAACCUACAGGGGUCUCUAAAUGGCAGUGCUCGAGCCCAGCAUGAGUGGCUAAUGCCAUGUUCACGUGCAGUCACAAACCCCAAGUCCAGUCUAGAUAAUACAGUGGGCCAGACGAGGACAUGCCUCAGAUAUCCACAAACAUGCGAUUCCCAUAGCCUAUUUUAUAUUUUCAAGUGCACUCCACUGAAUUUAAAAAGAAAAACAAAACAAAACAAAACAAAAACCAACCAGGGGGAAUUGUUUUGAAGUCCCAGAAUCUUUCUGUUUAAAGUUAUGGGGAAAAUGGAUGUAUAUGCUUUCCUGGAUAUAAAAUAUAACCAGAAAAGUAAAGCAAAAAUAAAAUAAUUUCCAUGCCAGGAUAGGAAAUUCAGAGUUUACAUAAGGAAAUUCAGAGUUUUCCAAUAAGGAAAGUUGGGCCAUAAUUAUUUAACAAACAUUGUUGGAUCUGGAUAAGCAAUUGUGCUCCCGUUUUCAUUUUGGAACAUAUAACUAUGGAGACAUCCUGGAUCUGACACUAUUUAGCCACCCAUCUUUAUAGAUUUAAGCGUCAUCUAGCUCUGCUACCUGCCAUAAAAAUAUUUCAAAUUCAGGUAUCUUGCUUUUGCUUUCUUAUCAAAAUAAUGGACAUUUACCAAGUGGCACUAAAGUGAUAGGGCAUUGUUCUUGAGAAAAUACAUAGUAGCUAGAAUACAGGUAGGUGUGAGGAACAGGUUUGUGGAUGCAGGUAAACUAAGUCACCUCCUGGUUCCAUUACUGUCUAGUUGUGUGGGCUUCACUGUGUUACUUCACUUUUAAUUCCUUAGUCUCUACAUCUGGAAAACAAGGAUAAAAAAUACCCACCUCAUAAUGUGGUGAGGACUGAGAUAACACAGGGACCCCAACAUAGAGUGAGGACUUCAUCAGUGGCAGUUUUGUAAUAAUUAUAGAUUAUUACAGAAAGUUACAAUAAGAGUAUGGCAAGGUCACCUGGUUUCUUUCAGUGGCUUCAUCUUACAUAAUUUUAUAGGGAAUUAACAUCAGUAUAAUGUAUGUGUAUAGAUCUAUGGAUUUUAUCACAUGUAUGGAUUCAUCUAAUCACCACCAUGAUCAAGCUACAGAAGUAUCCUAUCACUCCAAAAGGCUCCCACUUGCUACUCAGGAAGUCACACACCCUGUCACUCCAGCCCUCACCAUCUUUAUCCUCCAUCAACCACUACUGAUCUGUUUUCCAUCUCUGUAAUUUUGUCAUUACAGAAAUGUUUUUAUAAAUAGAAUAACAUAGUAUGUGACCUUCUGAAAUGGACUGUUUUUUCACUCUUGAUAAUGCCUUUGAGAUCUAGCCAAGUCAUGGCAUGUAUCAGAAAGUGUGGGUUUUAUUAAAAACAUCAUGCAAUGCUCAUCAUGGUAAGGUUGCACUAAGUCUGGCUUGAGGAAAACUCAGUAGCAAUACCUGAAUCACUUCCUAUGAAGACAACUAAUAGAGUUAAAGAAAAGGUAAUGGCACUUGUAACAGUACCAACAAGGAUUUAUUGGUAGUUAUAAUCAUUAAAGCAGUUGAAGCAUGCUGCAUGUAUUAAAUUCUACUGACUGGAAGCAAGCAAUCUUUGGGAGGUACACGAAUGGAGAUGAGAUACAGAAAGAAGAGGUGGAAAUGUGCCAAGACCAACCACACUUGUUGGCUCUGAAGAGCCAUUCUCAUUCUACAUGCUAUAGCCAGACUGAAGCCAGGUGAAGCCAGGAUCAGCAAACCACAGCCCACAGGUCACACCCAGCCCUCUGCCUGUUUCUGUAUGGCCUGGGUGCUAAGGAUCAGUUUCACAUUUAAAGAGUUGAAAAAAAAAUCAAAGGAAAGAAUGAUAUUUGGUGACACUGGAAAACAUAUGAAAUUCAAUUUCAUUGUCCAUAAAUAAAGUUUUUUCAGAACACAAUCAUACUCCUUUGUUUAUGUAUUGUCUAAUAACUGCUUUCACACCACAA
Molecule: long non-coding RNA, 2866 nt
Organism: Canis lupus familiaris (dog)
Lineage: Eukaryota; Metazoa; Chordata; Mammalia; Carnivora; Canidae
Exons: 4
Source: RefSeq, a predicted model, not a curated record